This is a long non-coding RNA of Planococcus citri (citrus mealybug), 794 nucleotides long. RefSeq lists it as uncharacterized. The transcript has 2 exons. NCBI's taxonomy places the organism in Eukaryota, Metazoa, Arthropoda, Insecta, Hemiptera, Pseudococcidae. The record is from RefSeq and is a predicted model, not a curated record.
ACUUAUUACCAUAUUAUUUCAAAUUUCACAAAAAAUUUCACAAUGUAUGUAAAAUAACAUGACAUAUGAGUUGACGCAAAUUCAAAUGACAGCCCAAAUAAUCUAUAUAAGAAGGUUUAUAAAGAAACACAAGUUCAUUAAAAGGCAACGUUUUUUGCUAUAGGUACGUAUUUAAUUGUUUUCGCGUAUUUAAAGUACCUACUUACCUAAUUAAUUAAAGGGUCUACAGAAAGAAUCAGAAUGGUAAGAGACAACUCCAUCGUUCGGGUGAUAACGUUAGCCUGCGCACUGUUAAUUUUUUUCAACAACUUGAAUUGCGUGAGAGCGCAAACGGAAUACGAUCAUUGUGACGAGAAUAAAUGCAAAGUCCUGUGUGAUCAACAGUCAUCAUCAUUUAAUCGUAUCACCCCGCGCGGGGGUAUCGUGACCAUUUCAAAAUUACGUAAUCCUGCGGGUAAUCGUGCGCCAUUGCUCCUUAUCUUGCGCGCUUCUCACGCAUUCAGCAAAGCUGCAGCCAGUCGCUUUGCGAAUAGAGUCAGUCCAUCGGGCCAAUGCCAGAUGUCUACUCAUAUUGCGAUGCAAACAGAUUCUGCCAAUGUAACAGAGGAAAGAAUCACCUGAAUCUGAAGUAUCAGAACGACUAACGUAUAGGUAAAUAAGUCACCAAAACUAGGAAGUUUAAUUAAGCAUUUAUUGUGCUAUCAUUACCUAGAAUUAAAUGCAUUAUAUAAUUUAAGGUUAUUCGCUGAUUCCUGAUUCAUACAUAAUUACAUAUGUACUUAUUACUUGCCUAA